This 424-nucleotide ribosomal RNA is filed under the name uncultured bacterium. Its description in RNAcentral is "bacterial SSU rRNA". It matches the Rfam family "Bacterial small subunit ribosomal RNA", at positions 355 to 776 of the family's 1533-position model. The record is from RNAcentral. RNAcentral also lists the same sequence under 1 other name.
UGAGGAAUAUUGGUCAAUGGGCGGAAGCCUGAACCAGCCAUGCCGCGUGCAGGAAGACGGCCCUACGGGUUGUAAACUGCUUUUCCGGGGGAAGAAUAAUCCCGACGUGUCGGGAGACGACGGUACCCCGGGAAUAAGGAUCGGCUAACUCCGUGCCAGCAGCCGCGGUAAUACGGAGGAUCCGAGCGUUAUCCGGAUUUACUGGGUUUAAAGGGUGCGUAGGCGGGCGCUUAAGUCAGCGGUGAAAUGCGGGGGCUCAACCUUCGAACGGCCGUUGAUACUGGGCGCCUUGGAUUCGGUCGAGGCGGGCGGAAUGCGACAUGUAGCGGUGAAAUGCUUAGAUAUGUCGCAGAACGCCGAUUGCGAAGGCAGCUCGCCGGGCCGAUAUUGACGCUGAGGCACGAAAGCGUGGGGAUCGAACAGG